CCUACGGGAGGCAGCAGUGAGGAAUAUUGCUCAAUGGGGGCAACCCUGAAGCAGCAACGCCGCGUGGAGGAUGAAGGUUUUCGGAUUGUAAACUCCUUUUGUUAGAGAAGAUAAUGACGGUAUCUAACGAAUAAGCACCGGCUAACUCCGUGCCAGCAGCCGCUGUAAUACGGAGGGUGCAAGCGUUACUCGGAAUCACUGGGCGUAAAGAGCGCGUAGGCGGGAUAGCAAGUCAGAUGUGAAAUCCUAUGGCUUAACCAUAGAACUGCAUUUGAAACUGUUAUUCUAGAGUAUGGGAGAGGUAGGUGGAAUUCUUGGUGUAGGGGUAAAAUCCGUAGAGAUCAAGAGGAAUACUCAUUGCGAAGGCGACCUACUAGAACAUAACUGACGCUGAUGCGCGAAAGCGUGGGGAGCAAACAGGAGUAGAUACCCUUGUAGUC
Molecule: ribosomal RNA, 440 nt
Filed under: uncultured bacterium
Lineage: Bacteria
Description: partial 16S ribosomal RNA
Rfam family: Bacterial small subunit ribosomal RNA
Source: RNAcentral